This is a non-coding RNA of Oryza barthii, 202 nucleotides long. The record is from Rfam. NCBI's taxonomy places the organism in Eukaryota, Viridiplantae, Streptophyta, Magnoliopsida, Poales, Poaceae.
AAUAAACACAGCCACAAGUUUCCGCGCCUAAUUUUAAUUGUCCGUCUUAUUUAAAAUUUUUUAUAAUUAGCAUUUUGUUGUUAUGAGAUGAUAAAACAUGAAUAAUAUUUUACUCGUAAUUUAUGUUUUAAAUUUUUUUAAAAAAAUUUUAAAUGAGACGAACGGUCAAAGUUGUGCGCGGAAAACCAUGGUUGUAGUUAUU